RNAcentral lists this ribosomal RNA (440 nucleotides) under uncultured bacterium. RNAcentral's name for it is "partial 16S ribosomal RNA". It matches the Rfam family "Bacterial small subunit ribosomal RNA", at positions 338 to 795 of the family's 1533-position model. The record is from RNAcentral.
CCUACGGGAGGCAGCAGUAGGGAAUAUUGCUCAAUGGGGGAAACCCUGAAGCAGCAACGCCGCGUGGAGGAUGAAGGUUUUCGGAUUGUAAACUCCUUUUGUUAGAGCAGAUAAUGACGGUAUCUAACGAAUAAGCACUGUCUAACUCCGAGCAAGCAGCCGCGGUACUAAGGAGGGUGCAAGCGUUACUCGGAAUCACUGGGCGUAAAGCGCGGGUAGGCGGGAUAGCAAGUCAGGUGUGAAAUCCUAGGGCUUAACCAUAGAACUGCAGUUGAAACUGUUAUUCUAGAGGAUGCGAGAGGUAGGUGGAAUGCGUGGUGUAGGGGUAAAAUGCGUAGAGAUCAAGAGGAAUACUCAUUGCGAAGGCGACGUGCUGGAACAUAACUGACGCUGAGGCGCGAAAGCGUGGGGAGCAAACAGGAUUAGAUACCCGUGUAGUC